This 231-nucleotide ribosomal RNA is filed under the name uncultured bacterium. Its description in RNAcentral is "partial 16S ribosomal RNA". It matches the Rfam family "Bacterial small subunit ribosomal RNA", at positions 524 to 754 of the family's 1533-position model. The record is from RNAcentral.
UACGAAGGGGGCUAGCGUUGUUCGGAAUUACUGGGCGUAAAGCGCGCGCAGGCGGUUCUCCAAGUCAGUGGUGAAAGCCCGGAGCUCAACUCCGGAACUGCCAUUGAAACUGUUGAACUUGAGGACGAGAGAGGUGAGUGGAAUUCCCAGUGUAGAGGUGAAAUUCGUAGAUAUUGGGAAGAACACCGGUGGCGAAGGCGGCUCACUGGCUCGUAUCUGACGCUCAGGCGC